Molecule: unclassified non-coding RNA, 301 nt
Organism: Aotus nancymaae (Ma's night monkey)
Lineage: Eukaryota; Metazoa; Chordata; Mammalia; Primates; Aotidae
Rfam family: Metazoan signal recognition particle RNA
About the family: The signal recognition particle (SRP) is a universally conserved ribonucleoprotein. It is involved in the co-translational targeting of proteins to membranes.
Source: Ensembl
GCCUGGCAUGGUGGCACAUGCCUGUAGUCCCAGCUAUUCGGGAAGCUGAGGUGGGAGGAUCGCUUGAGUCCACCGAAUUCUGGGCUGUAGGGCACUAUGCCGAUUGGGUGUCCGCUCUAAGUUCGGCAUCAAUAUGGUGACCUCCCGGGAGCAGGGGACCACGAGGUUGCCUAAGGAGGGGUGAACCGGCCCAGGUUGGAAACGGAGCAGGUCAAAACUCCCGUGCUGAUCAGUAGUGGGAUCGCGCCUGUGAAUAGCCACUGCACUCCAGCCUGGGCAACAUAGUGAGACCCCUGUCUCU